RNAcentral lists this ribosomal RNA (586 nucleotides) under uncultured bacterium. RNAcentral's name for it is "bacterial SSU rRNA". It matches the Rfam family "Bacterial small subunit ribosomal RNA", at positions 338 to 944 of the family's 1533-position model. The record is from RNAcentral.
CCUACGGGAGGCAGCAGUGGGGAAUCUUGCACAAUGGAGGAAACUCUGAUGCAGCGAUGCCGCGUGAGUGAAGAAGGCCUUUGGGUUGUAAAGCUCUUUUGUAGGGGAAGAUAAUGACUGUACCCUAAGAAUAAGGUCCGGCUAACUUCGUGCCAGCAGCCGCGGUAAUACGAAGGGACCUAGCGUAGUUCGGAAUUACUGGGCGUAAUGCGCGCGUAGGCCGUUGAGUUAGUUAAUUGUGAAAUCCCAAAGCUUAACUUUGGAACUGCAAUUAAAACUGCUCGACUAGAGUUUGAUAGAGGAAAGCGGAAUACAUAGUGUAGAGGUGAAAUUCGUAGAUAUUAUGUAGAACACCAGUUGCGAAGGCGGCUUUCUGGAUCAACACUGACGCUGAGGCGCGAAAGUAUGGGUAGCAAAGAGGAUUAGAUACCCUCGUAGUCCAUACCAUAAACGAUGAUUGCUAGAUGUUGGAAAUUUAUUUUCAGUAUCGCAGCUAACGCAUUAAGCAAUCCGCCUGGGGAUACGACCGCAAGGUUAAAACUCAAAGGAAUUGACGGCNGAGACGNGCGAGCGACGACGAGGAGAG